AACGAACGCUGGCGGCAUGCCUAACACAUGCAAGUCGAACGAAGCCUUCGGGCUUAGUGGCGCACGGGUGCGUAACGCGUGGGAAUCUGCCCUCGGGUUCGGAAUAACAGUUAGAAAUGACUGCUAAUACCGGAUGAUGUCUUCGGACCAAAGAUUUAUCGCCCAAGGAUGAGCCCGCGUCGGAUUAGCUAGUUGGUGAGGUAAAGGCUCACCAAGGCGACGAUCCGUAGCUGGUCUGAGAGGAUGAUCAGCCACACUGGGACUGAGACACGGCCCAGACUCCUACGGGAGGCAGCAGUGGGGAAUAUUGGACAAUGGGCGAAAGCCUGAUCCAGCAAUGCCGCGUGAGUGAUGAAGGCCUUAGGGUUGUAAAGCUCUUUUACCCGGGAUGAUAAUGACAGUACCGGGAGAAUAAGCCCCGGCUAACUCCGUG
This 433-nucleotide ribosomal RNA is filed under the name uncultured bacterium. Its description in RNAcentral is "partial 16S ribosomal RNA". It matches the Rfam family "Bacterial small subunit ribosomal RNA", at positions 29 to 507 of the family's 1533-position model. The record is from RNAcentral.